UGUUAAAUUCUCGGUUUCUUUUAAA
Molecule: non-coding RNA, 25 nt
Filed under: Drosophila melanogaster (fruit fly)
Lineage: Eukaryota; Metazoa; Arthropoda; Insecta; Diptera; Drosophilidae
Source: RNAcentral